UUACAAUUCUACACAUCAUUCUUCUUUGACCACAAAUCAUAGCACCACUUUCCUAAAGCUGCUGUCACGUUCCAGGCAAAGAGGAUGGCUCCAGUCAGCCCAGGCCCUGAGGGUGCUCCGAGCUCCUGCAGCCACCACUGCAAGGAAAGCAUUGAGUUGAGUGUUCUCCAAGGAACUGGUGGUUUGUAGCUGGACCUUCUCUGCCUGGAGGCAAACAGACACACCUCUAGUAGUGCCAAGAAUAUUUCCUUCCUGCUUCUCCCUGCACUGGUGCAGCACAACAUUCCUGCCGUGGAUGCAGGAGCUGGAUUUGAUGAUCCCUGAGGGACUUCCCAGCUCCAACACGAGAGUGUGUGGCUCUUUUCUGCUCCCUGAAUUGGAUCCCUGCUGCUCAGGGGUGCAGGAGCCUCAGAGGAAGGAGGAAAUCCUAACCCUGAAGGAAGAAUGUGCCUGUGACACCUGGACUCCUCUGACACAAAGGAUUAAAAGCGUUUUUCACCCCAGCCGUGGCUCAGGCGACCUUCAGAGCCCUGGCUGCAGACAAAACCUGAGACACGCUUGGCAAAAGGAGCAAAAAAGGAGAGGGGGGUGGAAGGGAAAUUAGAAACGUGGAAAUGUAAUAACUUUCCAUUAUGCAAAUUUGAUUUAAUCAGAGAUGAAG
Long non-coding RNA from Vidua macroura (Pin-tailed whydah), 661 nucleotides. RefSeq lists it as uncharacterized. The record is from RefSeq and is a predicted model, not a curated record. NCBI's taxonomy places the organism in Eukaryota, Metazoa, Chordata, Aves, Passeriformes, Viduidae. The transcript has 3 exons.